UGAGCCUGUGAAAACUGACCGAGUUCGUUGUGAUCUCGUGAAAACAACAAGUUAGGUUGGGAGCUUGUAAAACAACCGGCUGUAAUCUGAGGGAUUAUAGUGAAAUUUCUAAGAGGUCUUGGGGAGUGGAUGUAGGUGCUGGGGUGCACCGAACUACUAUACAUCUUUGUGUUUGUAAUGCCUUAUCUCUUAUGUUCCAUGCCUUACAUUCAUACCUGAUUGUGUAAUAUCUCUAGCUUUAUUUCCAAUUGAUUUAUAAGUAAUUUUUAAGAACUUGCUUAGCUUCCACUCCAUUCUUACCAUUCACAUAGAUUAAAAUUGAUCAUACAACUAUAAGUUGAUUUUAGAUCAAUUGCACCCUAAAGCCAUAAUAUAAUUGCUCUAGCUUAAGUUUCCACUGCUUUACUUGUAAUUGCCUAGAGCUUAAAAUAACAUCUUAUCAUUCCGUUACAUUCAAUUCAAAAGGAAACAUAAUUUUUGGAAAACCUAAUUUAUCCCCCCCCUCUUGGGUUGUCACCUUGGGCAACAAGUGGUAUCAGAGCAGGUGCUCUAAGGUUAAUUGUUGAUCUCACGAUCAAGAGCCAAAGAUCAUGAUAACUCAAAUAUAUAGUUUUCUAGUAGAGGGAUAAUUAAUUGAUAGACCUCCACUAUUUAAUGGCAUAAACUACACAUAUUGGAAAGCACGCAUGUGCAUUUUUAUUCAAUCACAAAACUAUGAUUUAUGGAAUAUCAUAAUAAAUGACCUUCAAACACUCUCUCAA
Molecule: long non-coding RNA, 761 nt
Filed under: Phoenix dactylifera (date palm)
Lineage: Eukaryota; Viridiplantae; Streptophyta; Magnoliopsida; Arecales; Arecaceae
Description: long non-coding RNA (PDAC_LNC006738)
Source: RNAcentral